GACUCAAGGAAAGCAUGGUGCCUGCUAAAAUGGAUGGCAAGAGUAAAGAUUACAAUGUAUAUCCAUUCUCUAAGUACCCAGAAUGUUGACUCUUCCAGAGCCAUCAGAUCUCUUCACCUCCUUGCCUGGAUCAUCUCAAGCUCUGGAAAGUCUGAGCAGAUUCUAGAUUACAACACCCCCAUGGGUACCAGCGGAGGACAAGGACCAUGAAUAUUCCACGUCUGUCUGAAACCUUUAUCAAGCAGAGGUCAAGAACAGCUCUUUCCUUUUCAAAAUUCAAGGCAAAUGUCCAAAAUUUUCAACCAUGCGGAUUUUUAAAGCAACAAAAUUGAGACUGUCUUACCACCUAGAAUUUCAUGAUUGCUCAUUUAUUCCAUCACUGUAUAAGCAGUUGUUCUAUUAUUUUAUAAAAAGAAAUGGAGUUGAAUUAAGACUAUCAAGCUAUACCUUAUAUUAAUGGAAGACAAGAUUCACAGUUUAAAUAUUUUUUUCUUAGUUUAGCUUAUUAGUCUUUUCUAAAUUAUCCUAAUCACCAAGUAUUAUACUUACAUAUUCUGAAGUAUUUAAAAGCAUAAAUAAGAAUGAAAAGCAGCCCCAGGCAGCUUCUUGCAUUACAUCUGGGCAACUGCUGACAUUCUAGGAUCAAAAACUGAAACUAAUAUAUCUACUUAGUCUGGUAGUAGACAAGGCAGCCUUCAUUCUGACUUCUGCCCAACAGACAGGAGAGAGGAGUUUACUUUUGGUCUGAGGGGACUGCCCUGAGAUCAAGUUUUUCCCCAAUAGGCACCACGUUGCAAUUUUCACUGUGUGAAGGGCUAGCGGGUCAACCCCAAGGUCCGACCAGGUGGUGACAGAUAAGUGAGUUCCUCUAGGGACCCAACAUGUACCUCCCACCAACCCAGAAGACCUGGCCUGACUGUUGCUGGGAUCCAGCCAGCCAUUCCAGAGGGCCAGGCCAUCCCUACUUUGUGUCAAUCAACCCUUCUCUCAAGUUAAUGUCUGUCUGCGGGAUGCCAGCCAGAAAGGUAUCUCUGAUUGGUUUUAGGGCUUAUCUCAGGACUAACCUUGGGGACAGGCAGUCUCCAGGCUUUGAGGGAUUUUCCUGUAAAUUGCCUGGAUAACAAACCCACAAAAACAUCCAGCUUUGAGUUAAAACAAUAACAACAACCAAAAAUUGCUUUUCCUGCUCGCUUAGGCAUUUUGCUGGUGGGGAAGGAGUUGCACAUGCUAGUUUAUUAAAUGUUCACAACAAUCAGUACCUUAAGCUAUACUAUAAGGGCUAUUUUAGGGGUGAUGGUGGGGGCGGAGGUGGAUGUAAGUCUUAGAUUGAAUGAAUUGCCAGAGACUCAAAGCUAGAAACUGACCAAGGAGAGAGUUUCUUUAACCACCAUCAGCUUCAAGCUGACUCUCCUGGUAUAAAGCUUUGAGAUUCUAAAGACUCUGUGCCCAGCAGAUGUGAGCAGCCAUUGGCAUACAAAAUGGUCCCAUCCUUAUGUUGCUAUUUCUGCUUCAGCCCUUUAUUUUCUUCUAGCUCUUUCUUUCAUUUCCCGUGUGAUCUUGGGCAAGUCUCCUAAUUCCUUUGACUCUCACUUUCCUCAGCAGUACAACCACAGUUCUUUCCCAGAUCACAAGAAUUUAAAAACGAAAUGACUAUGACCAGAUGUGAGAGGCAGUUAAACCUGCUGUAGUGAAGAGUUUUGAGCCUGGGAGUAGAUUGGCAGCACUGGAAUCCCAUCUCUUUGACCUUGGGCAAGUGACCUAAAGAUCUGUUCCUCAGUGGAGAAAAAGGAAUUUGUACCUCAUAGGACUGUUGUACCUUUUAAGUAAAUUACUGUAUUAAAGGGGCUUGAAAUAAUUCCUUGCACGCUCUAUGUUAAGUUGCUAUUAUUUUGUUCUAAAUAAAAUCGCCUUAGCGCAAUCAACAACACAUGUUAGAUGCUAAGUAAUGGGCAGUGAUGCACCCUAGUCUUUUGUUGGCAAAAAGAUGAGAAUGAGAGCACCAUUUCAUGGGCCAUGGGCUGAUGUCAAUUUCAUACCAAACAUGAUAUAACAUAACUUUGAGAAGCCAACAGGACAGCAACCCCAGACCUCCAGACCACUAUUUCAGUGUCUUGCAGUGAUUCCUCCCAUCCUUCCAGAGCCUCCACAGAGGCUCAGCUGCCCUGAAGGCAGAGGCAGGGCUAGCCUGAAGCCGAGGAAAUGCCUGUGUAACUCAAGGGAGGAACAGCCAGGGAUUCAACUGUGUAGGUCUGGGCUUCUGGAAGAGUUACUCCUCACCUCACUCCCCAGGGUCAAACUCAAAAAAAAACUUCAUGCAAAAAAGCAAUUUACUUAGCCAGUCACUUUCUAGAUUUGCUCAGCAAUUAUUUCAGCUAUUUGUGUUUAAAUGAGAGUUUUCUCCGUUCCUGCCCAGUGUCUUUCUGCUUCAUUGGGUGCGGAAGCCUUGGCAGCAUUUUCCCUCCUGAUAGCUGAACUUUCGCCAUCACGGAGGCUGGGGGAAGUGGGAGAGCAGCUAAGGAAAAGCAAAAGUUGCAGGUUCUGAGAGUUUCUGAGACCAUAAGGGCAGUGGUUAAAGAAUGGAGAAUGGGCCGCAGAGUCACCUGCCUGGAAGUUUAAUAACAGUAGAUAUUUGUGGCACUUUUCCUAGAGUUUCUGACUCAGUAGGUUUGGGGCAGGGGCAGUGAUGUGGUGAUAAAUACUUAGCAACCAGCUCUCUGGAAAAAUAUGUAAAUAGCCCUGAUUGGUGAAUUUUCAGAUUCCCUAGUACCAGUACUCCCAUCAUGACCAGUUUCAAGCUACUAAUUUGAUGUCACUGAACAAAGUAGGGAAGAGAUGUGCGCAGUAAGCUCUUCUGCGCUGCUAAGAGCUGGUUCCUGGACACCACUGAGUCAAGGCCAGUAAUCUCAUGUUUAUUAACUUCUCCUGGGUGAUUCUGACACAGUGAGUACUGUAACAGGCUUUUUAGGAGUAGGAGAAAUAGAGAUAGAAAAGCACUAUAAGUUUGAGCCUAGAGCUGAGAUUAAUUUGUUUGGGGCAGUUGAUACAUAUUCAUGUGCCACCAUCACUAUUUUUUGUCAUAUUCAUGUGUAUGCUGUACUAUCUGUUGCUUAUUGCUUACUUUUAAUCUACUCAUUAUUUUAUCCUUUCUUUUAAUUACAUGGUAUAAGAAACUAUAAUCACCACCUUAAGUGUAAAACUAUUACUAGUUGCUAUAAAUAAAAAGUAAAUGUAAAGAGCUUAUAAUAAAAGCCAUAUUGUUAAAUUCUAGUUAUAUACCAUUUUCUAUCUAACGUUCUGAGCCUGAGGUCUGUUUUCCCUUUGUGAACAAAUGUUGGAGUGGCAUUAAAGUUCUA
Molecule: long non-coding RNA, 3353 nt
Filed under: Homo sapiens (human)
Lineage: Eukaryota; Metazoa; Chordata; Mammalia; Primates; Hominidae
Description: HSALNT0234096
Source: RNAcentral